This 643-nucleotide ribosomal RNA is filed under the name uncultured archaeon. RNAcentral's name for it is "bacterial SSU rRNA". It matches the Rfam family "Archaeal small subunit ribosomal RNA", at positions 67 to 694 of the family's 1478-position model. The record is from RNAcentral.
AUCAGCUACCGCGCGGCGUACGGCUCAGUAAAACAUGCUCAAACUGCCCUUAGGUCCGGGAUAACCUCUGGAAACGGAGGAUAAUCCCGGAUAGGCAAGGAGUCUUGGAAUAGCUCCUUGCCUAAAGGUGAAGAGCCGACUGCUCUUCAUCGCCUAAGGAUGUGAGCAUGGCCUAUCAGGUAGAUGGUGGGGUAACGGCCCACCAUGCCUAAGACGGGUACGGGCCGUGAAAGCGGGAGCCCGGAGAUGGGUUCUGAGACAAGAACCCAGGCCCUAUGGGGCGCAGCAGGCGCGAAACUUCUGCAAUGCGCGAAUGCGCGACAGAGUCACCCUGAGUGCUACCCGCUGAGGGUAGCUUUUGCCCUGUGUAAAAAGCAGGGCGAAUAAGCGGGGGGCAAGAUCUGGUGUCAGCCGCCGCGGUAAUACCAGCCCCGCGAGUGGUCAGGACGAUUAUUGAGCCUAAAGCGUCCGUAGCCGGCCUUACAAGUCCUCCCUUAAAUGACACGGCUCAACCGUGUCGCUGGGGAGGAUACUGUAAGGCUAGGGAGCGGGAGAGGCGGAUGGUACUCGAGGGGUAGUGGCAAAAUACGAUAAUCCCUCGAGGACCACCAGUGGCGGAGGCGAUCCGCUAGAACGCGUCCGA